RNAcentral lists this ribosomal RNA (332 nucleotides) under uncultured Zavarzinella sp. RNAcentral describes it as "bacterial SSU rRNA". It matches the Rfam family "Bacterial small subunit ribosomal RNA", at positions 568 to 898 of the family's 1533-position model. The record is from RNAcentral. Lineage: Bacteria; Pseudomonadati; Planctomycetota; Planctomycetia; Gemmatales; Gemmataceae.
CGCGUAGGCGGCCGAGCGGGUCGCGGGUGAAAUCCUCCAGCUUAACUGGAGAACUGCCCUCGAUACCACUGCGGCUCGAGGAAGGAAGGGGCAAUCGGAACUGUCGGUGGAGCGGUGAAAUGCGUUGAUAUCGACAGGAACGCCGGUGGCGAAAGCGGAUUGCUGGUCCUUUUCUGACGCUGAGGCGCGAAAGCCAGGGGAGCAAACGGGAUUAGAUACCCCGGUAGUCCUGGCCUUAAACGAUGAGAACUAGGUAGUGGGUCCGACCUGGGCACACUGCCGAAGCGAAAGUCUUAAGUUCUCCGCCUGGGGAGUAUGGUCGCAAGGCUGAA